CCCAGGGCUGUUCUCAAGGUUUUGGCGGGAUUUCUCUUCUUGCUGGCACGAACUGCAGCCUCUGUCUCAGCGGAGACAGGGCUGCCAGAUCCACUCUCCCAAGGGAGAUGGGAUGAUUUGGCGCAUCACUUUCACAGACUGCCUCUCCAACACCCCCAUUCCUGCUCUGCACUAGGUACAAAGGAAGACCUGUAAACCCCAAAGGCAAUGGGGAUGCAAUGAGUUUUGUCUGGUCAUUUUAAAGCAGGGCUUCUGUGAGUCCUGUGUCUCACUGUGUUCCUGGAGCCAUAAUCAGGCCGGGAAGCAAUUUCUGGAUGUAGCUGUGUUAGGGGGACAUUUGGUUUGUUGCAAC
RNAcentral lists this long non-coding RNA (352 nucleotides) under Zonotrichia albicollis (white-throated sparrow). RNAcentral's name for it is "lncRNA (ENSZALG00000018081.1)". The record is from RNAcentral. Lineage: Eukaryota; Metazoa; Chordata; Aves; Passeriformes; Passerellidae.